RNAcentral lists this ribosomal RNA (725 nucleotides) under Burmannia oblonga. Its description in RNAcentral is "eukaryotic LSU rRNA". The stretch from base 303 to 458 matches the Rfam family "5.8S ribosomal RNA". The record is from RNAcentral. Lineage: Eukaryota; Viridiplantae; Streptophyta; Magnoliopsida; Dioscoreales; Burmanniaceae.
UGCGGAAGGAUCAUUGUUGAGAUAUGAGGGUAAAUGACUAGAGAACUUGUCAAUCAUAUGGCGUCCUUCCAACAAAGAUGCCAAUUCAAUAGUGCAUUCUCUUUGAUUGGCUUGUUUGUUGGAUGGACAUAGCCAUGCCACCACUUCUUGAUGGUUGUGGGGGCUGGCAAAUGACAGCGGGCACGGAAUGUGCCAAGGAUACAAAUUUUGCUCAUUGCGGUGUGACUUCGGUUGGGGUCUGCAUUGCGCUCAAUCGAAAGCAUGCUUGUCAUGGCAUGGUAGUGGUGUGUUGUUAAAGAUAUGACUCUCGACAACGGAUAUCUAGGCUCUUGCAUCGAUGAAGAACGUAGCGAAAUGCGAUAUUUGGUGUGAAUUGCAGAAUCCCGUGAACCAUCGAGUUUUUGAACGCAAGUUGCGCCCGAGACCUCUUGGUUGCGGGCACGCCUGCCUGGGCGUCACACCAUAUGUUGCUCCAUCCAACUAGUCCAUGUGAUUUGUUAGAUGGAAGCGAAGAUUGGUUCACCGUGCUUUUAAUAGUUGUGGUGAGCUGAAGCAUGAGAUGACGAUGGAAUAUUAGUACACAACAUGUGGUGGGUAAAAGAAUGCUUAUGAUGUUUGCCGAUGUUGUUCUCUCCCUGUCAUAUCUCAAACCAAAGCGUGCUGAAGGGAUCCUUGAGUUCUAGUGUGGUGUUCUCCCUUGCUUUGUGACCCCAGGUCAGACGGGA